CUGAAAUACAAAACUGUUUCAAUAACCAAACCAC
This 34-nucleotide small RNA is filed under the name Bombyx mori (domestic silkworm). RNAcentral's name for it is "ovarian small RNA-14755". Lineage: Eukaryota; Metazoa; Arthropoda; Insecta; Lepidoptera; Bombycidae. The record is from RNAcentral.